CAGUCGCCGCGGGAAUACAGAGGAUGCAAGCGUUAUCCGGAAUGAUUGGGCGUAAAGCGUCUGUAGGUGGCUUUUUAAGUCCGCCGUCAAAUCCCAGGGCUCAACCCUGGACAGGUGGUGGAAACUACCAAGCUGGAGUACGGUAGGGGCAGAGGGAAUUUCUUGUGGAGUGGUGAAAUGCAUUGAGAUCGAAAAGAACACCAACGGCAAAAGCACUCUGCUAGGCUGACACUGACACUGAGAGACGAAAGCUAGGGGAGAAAAUGGGAUUAGAUACCCCAGUAGUCCCUGUCUCUUAUAC
This 301-nucleotide ribosomal RNA is filed under the name uncultured bacterium. RNAcentral's name for it is "partial 16S ribosomal RNA". It matches the Rfam family "Bacterial small subunit ribosomal RNA", at positions 509 to 807 of the family's 1533-position model. The record is from RNAcentral.